CGCGGGGUGGAGCAGUUCGGUAGCUCGUCGGGCUCAUAACCCGAAGGUCGUCGGUUCAAAUCCGGCCCCCGCAACCA
This 77-nucleotide transfer RNA is filed under the name Aeromonas veronii. Its description in RNAcentral is "tRNA-Met". It matches the Rfam family "tRNA". From Rfam's summary of the family: Transfer RNA (tRNA) molecules are approximately 80 nucleotides in length. Their secondary structure includes four short double-helical elements and three loops (D, anti-codon, and T loops). The record is from RNAcentral. Lineage: Bacteria; Pseudomonadati; Pseudomonadota; Gammaproteobacteria; Aeromonadales; Aeromonadaceae. RNAcentral also lists the same sequence under 6 other names.